GUGUCAGCCGCCGCGGUAAUACGGAGGGUGCAAGCGUUGUUCGGAAUUAUUGGGCGUAAAGCGCGUGUAGGUGGUCGGGUAAGUCAGAUGUGAAAGCCCUCGGCUUAACUGGGGAAGUGCAUUUGAGACUGCUCGGCUGGAGUUCGGAAGAGGAGAGUGGAAUUCCCGGUGUAGAGGUGAAAUUCGUAGAUAUCGGGAGGAACACCGGUGGCGAAGGCGGCUCUCUGGUCCGAUACUGACGCUGAGACGCGAAAGCGUGGGGAGCAAACAGGAUUAGAUACCCCCGUAGUCC
Molecule: ribosomal RNA, 292 nt
Filed under: uncultured bacterium
Lineage: Bacteria
Description: partial 16S ribosomal RNA
Rfam family: Bacterial small subunit ribosomal RNA
Source: RNAcentral